Molecule: ribosomal RNA, 521 nt
Filed under: uncultured soil bacterium
Lineage: Bacteria
Description: bacterial SSU rRNA
Rfam family: Bacterial small subunit ribosomal RNA
Source: RNAcentral
GAGUUUGAUCCUGGCUCAGGAUGAACGCUAGCGGGAGGCUUAACACAUGCAAGCCGAGGGGUAUUCAGUUGCUUGCAACUGAAGAGACCGGCGCACGGGUGAGUAACGCGUAUGUAACUUGCCUCAUUCAACGGGAUAGCCCGGGGAAACCCGGAUUAAUAUCGUAUAACAGCCGGACAGGCAUCUGUUUGGUUUGAAAGAUUCAUCGGAAUGAGAUAGACAUGCGUAUGAUUAGCUUGUUGGCGGGGUAACGGCCCACCAAGGCGAUGAUCAUUAGGGGUCCUGAGAGGGUGAUCCCCCACACUGGUACUGAGACACGGACCAGACUCCUACGGGAGGCAGCAGUGAGGAAUAUUGGACAAUGGGUGAGAGCCUGAUCCAGCCAUCCCGCGUGCAGGAAGACGGCCUUAUGGGUUGUAAACUGCUUUUAUACAGGAAUAAACCAUCUUACGAGUAGGGUGUUGAAGGUACUGUAUGAAUAAGCACCGCCUCUAAGGGGUGCCAGCAGCCGCGGUAAUACG